UCCAGACUCCUACGGGAGGCAGCAGUGGGGAAUAUUGCACAAUGGAGGGAACCCUGAUGCAGCGACGCCGCGUGGGUGAAGGAGUACCUCGGUGCGUAAAGCCCUAUCGGCAGGGAAGAAACAGACGGUACCUGACUAAGAAGCCCCGGCUAACUACGUGCCAGCAGCCGCGGUAAUACGUAGGGGGCAAGCGUUAUCCGGAUUUACUGGGUGUAAAGGGAGCGUAGACGGCGAUGCAAGUCUGAAGUGAAAGGCGGGGGCCCAACCCCCGGACUGCUUUGGAAACUGUAUAGCUGGAGUGCAGGAGAGGGAAGUGGAAUUCCUAGUGUAGCGGUGAAAUGCGUAGAUAUUAGGAGGAACACCAGUGGCGAAGGCGGCUUACUGGACUGUAACUGACGUUGAGGCUCGAAAGCGUGGGGAGCAAACAGGAUUAGAUACCCUAGUACCA
RNAcentral lists this ribosomal RNA (448 nucleotides) under uncultured bacterium. RNAcentral describes it as "bacterial SSU rRNA". It matches the Rfam family "Bacterial small subunit ribosomal RNA", at positions 330 to 797 of the family's 1533-position model. The record is from RNAcentral.